Molecule: ribosomal RNA, 84 nt
Filed under: Ginkgo biloba (maidenhair tree)
Lineage: Eukaryota; Viridiplantae; Streptophyta; Ginkgoopsida; Ginkgoales; Ginkgoaceae
Description: partial 5.8S ribosomal RNA
Source: RNAcentral
UGCGAAAUCCUGUGAAUCAUCGAGUCUUUGAUGCAAGUUGCACCCGAGGCCUUGGAGGAGGACACGUUUGCCUAGGCGUCUCAC